CCAGAGGUUUGAAAAAACCCCUAAACCCGUGUCAACGUACCUGUUUCCAGUUGCUUCGGCAGGCGGCCCCAGGGCGGGGCCCCGGGCCUUUACAGGCGCCUGCCGGAGUCGACGCACACCAAACUCUUGUCUCCCCCCCGGGGUUGUCUCUGAGUACAAUACGAAAUAAGUUA
This 173-nucleotide unclassified non-coding RNA is filed under the name uncultured Botryosphaeriaceae. RNAcentral's name for it is "sequence contains ITS1". Lineage: Eukaryota; Fungi; Ascomycota; Dothideomycetes; Botryosphaeriales; Botryosphaeriaceae. The record is from RNAcentral.